GAAAUGCGAUAAGUAAUGUGAAUUGCAGAAUUCAGUGAAUCAUCGAAUCUUCGAACGCACCUUGCGCCCUUUGGUAUUCCGAAGGGCACGCCCGUUUGAGUGUCAUUGUAAUCUCACCUUUACGGUUUCUGACCGUGGAAGUGGACCUGGAUGUCGUCGGCAUCGUUCGACCCGUCUGAAAUGUAUGAGUGUACCCUGCCGUGCAGCGUAUCUGGUGUGAUAAGCAUCUUCACCGGAGUAAUGCCUCCUUUGGCGCGUCUGUGGUGUGGGCUCUACGCUUCAAACCGUCCUUUGUGGACAAUCUAUGACGAUUUGACCUCAAAUCGGGUGGGACUACCCGCUGAACUUAAGCAUAUCAAUAAGCGGAGGAAAAGAAACUAACAAGGAUUCCCCUAGU
This 397-nucleotide ribosomal RNA is filed under the name uncultured Ceratobasidiaceae. Its description in RNAcentral is "eukaryotic LSU rRNA". The stretch from base 1 to 105 matches the Rfam family "5.8S ribosomal RNA", at positions 50 to 154 of the family's 154-position model. The record is from RNAcentral. Lineage: Eukaryota; Fungi; Basidiomycota; Agaricomycetes; Cantharellales; Ceratobasidiaceae.